GUAAACGAUGAAUACUCGCUGUUUGCGAUAUGCAGUAAGCGGCCAAGCGAAAGCAUUAAGUAUUCCACCUGGGGAGUACGCCGGCAACGGUGAAACUCAAAGGAAUUGACGGGGGCCCGCACAAGCGGAGGAACAUGUGGUUUAAUUCGAUGAUACGCGAGGAACCUUACCCGGGCUUGAAUUGCAGAGGAAUAUAGUUGAAAGAUUAUCGCCGCAAGGUCUCUGUGAAGGUGCUGCAUGGUUGUCGUCAGCUCGUGCCGUGAGGUGUCGGCUUAAGUGCCAUAACGAGCGCAACCCUUAUCAUUAGUUACUAACAGGUCAUGCUGAGGACUCUAGUGAGACUGCCGUCGUAAGAUGUGAGGAAGGUGGGGAUGACGUCAAAUCAGCACGGCCCUUACGUCCGGGGCUACACACGUGUUACAAUGGGGGGUACAGAGGGCAGCUACCGGGCGACCGGAUGCCAAUCCCAAAAACCUCUCUCAGUUCGGAU
RNAcentral lists this ribosomal RNA (490 nucleotides) under uncultured bacterium. Its description in RNAcentral is "bacterial SSU rRNA". It matches the Rfam family "Bacterial small subunit ribosomal RNA", at positions 802 to 1298 of the family's 1533-position model. The record is from RNAcentral.